RNAcentral lists this ribosomal RNA (460 nucleotides) under uncultured bacterium. Its description in RNAcentral is "partial 16S ribosomal RNA". It matches the Rfam family "Bacterial small subunit ribosomal RNA", at positions 339 to 795 of the family's 1533-position model. The record is from RNAcentral.
CUACGGGUCGCACCAGUGAGGAAUAUUGGUCAAUGGGCGAAAGCCUGAACCAGCCAAUCCGCGUGUAGGAUGACUGCCCUAUGGGUUGUAAACUACUUUUAUACAGGAAGAAACCUCCGGACGUGUUCGGAGCUGACUGUACUGUAAGAAUAAGCAUCGGCUAACUCCGUGGCCAGCAGCCGCGGUAAUACGGAGGAUGCAAGCGUUAUCCGGAUUUAUUAGGUCUAAAGGGUGCGUAGGCGGAUAAUUAAGUCAGUGGUGAAAUCCUACAGCUUAACUGUAGAACUGCCAUUGAUACUGGUUAUCUUGAGUUUAGUUGAGGUAGGCGGAAUGUGUAGUGUAGCGGUGAAAUGCUUAGAUAUUACACAGAACACCGAUUGCGAAGGCAGCUUACUAAGCUAUAACUGACGCUGAGGCACGAAAGCGUGGGGAGCGAACAGGAUUAGAUACCCGCGUAGUC